This 1354-nucleotide ribosomal RNA is filed under the name uncultured bacterium. RNAcentral's name for it is "16S ribosomal RNA". It matches the Rfam family "Bacterial small subunit ribosomal RNA", at positions 34 to 1381 of the family's 1533-position model. The record is from RNAcentral.
CGCUGGCGGCAGGCCUAACACAUGCAAGUCGAGCGGUAGAGAGAAGCUUGCUUCUCUUGAGAGCGGCGGACGGGUGAGUAAUGCCUAGGAAUCUGCCUGGUAGUGGGGGAUAACGUUCGGAAACGGACGCUAAUACCGCAUACGUCCUACGGGAGAAAGCAGGGGACCUUCGGGCCUUGCGCUACCAGAUGAGCCUAGGUCGGAUUAGCUAGUUGGUGAGGUAAUGGCUCACCAAGGCGACGAUCCGUAACUGGUCUGAGAGGAUGAUCAGUCACACUGGAACUGAGACACGGUCCAGACUCCUACGGGAGGCAGCAGUGGGGAAUAUUGGACAAUGGGCGAAAGCCUGAUCCAGCCAUGCCGCGUGUGUGAAGAAGGUCUUCGGAUUGUAAAGCACUUUAAGUUGGGAGGAAGGGCAGUAAAUUAAUACUUUGCUGUUUUGACGUUACCGACAGAAUAAGCACCGGCUAACUCUGUGCCAGCAGCCGCGGUAAUACAGAGGGUGCAAGCGUUAAUCGGAAUUACUGGGCGUAAAGCGCGCGUAGGUGGUUUGUUAAGUUGGAUGUGAAAUCCCCGGGCUCAACCUGGGAACUGCAUUCCAAAACUGACUGAUUAGAGUAGGGUGGAGGGUGGUGGAAUUUCCCGGGUAGCGGGAAAAUGGGUAGAUAUAGGAAGGAACACCAGUGGCGAAAGCGACCCCCUGGGACUAAUACUGACACUGAGGUGCGAAAGCGGGGGGAGCAAACAGGAUUAGAUACCCUGGUAGUCCACGCCGUAAACGAUGUCAACUAGCCGUUGGAAGCCUUGAGCUUUUAGUGGCGCAGCUAACGCAUUAAGUUGACCGCCUGGGGAGUACGGCCGCAAGGUUAAAACUCAAAUGAAUUGACGGGGGCCCGCACAAGCGGUGGAGCAUGUGGUUUAAUUCGAAGCAACGCGAAGAACCUUACCAGGCCUUGACAUCCAAUGAACUUUCUAGAGAUAGAUCGGUGCCUUCGGGAACAUUGAGACAGGUGCUGCAUGGCUGUCGUCAGCUCGUGUCGUGAGAUGUUGGGUUAAGUCCCGUAACGAGCGCAACCCUUGUCCUUAGUUACCAGCACGUAAUGGUGGGCACUCUAAGGAGACUGCCGGUGACAAACCGGAGGAAGGUGGGGAUGACGUCAAGUCAUCAUGGCCCUUACGGCCUGGGCUACACACGUGCUACAAUGGUCGGUACAGAGGGUUGCCAAGCCGCGAGGUGGAGCUAAUCCCACAAAACCGAUCGUAGUCCGGAUCGCAGUCUGCAACUCGACUGCGUGAAGUCGGAAUCGCUAGUAAUCGCGAAUCAGAAUGUCGCGGUGAAUACGUUCCCGGGCCU